RNAcentral lists this signal recognition particle RNA (320 nucleotides) under Candidatus Bathyarchaeota archaeon. RNAcentral's name for it is "signal recognition particle sRNA". It matches the Rfam family "Archaeal signal recognition particle RNA". Lineage: Archaea; Thermoproteati; Candidatus Bathyarchaeota. The record is from RNAcentral.
UGGCGGGUUAAGGAUCGGGGAGCUAGCCCUGCCCUGUAACCCGAAAAGGGCUACAUGCGGGGAUCCGCCAACCGUCAAGGGCGGCAGCCUGAACAGCCAAAUGAGGUUUCACAGGAUGACGGUGAGACUUCGUCUCGCAGGGCUUGGUUGGAGACAGCCCCGUCGAAGGAUGGAGUUAAGUCUCUUCACCGCCGAACCGGGUCAGGCCGGGAACGGAGCAGCCCUAAGGUGGGCAGCCAAGCGUUUGCGAGGGCGCGGAGUUGAGAAAGCCUGUGAAAUACUCGGGUUGGGAGGGGGCCCACUUUGACGGGAUGCCGCUA